Molecule: long non-coding RNA, 1184 nt
Organism: Wyeomyia smithii (pitcher-plant mosquito)
Lineage: Eukaryota; Metazoa; Arthropoda; Insecta; Diptera; Culicidae
Exons: 2
Source: RefSeq, a predicted model, not a curated record
AUAGCUGGAAACAAAUCAAUAACAGCGUGAUAGGUAGAACUUUCAUUUCGACACACUCCCAGUCCGAAACCGAACUGGGAUGCAUUCUAGUUCAAGGCCAACGAUGGGUUCACUUACAGGUCCAAACUCCUAGCUAGAACUGCACAAUCACCUUAUUCAGUUCGAACACAAAGCACAAUGCUCAAGCAACUGAUAAGAUGUGUCAUGUAGGCACUUAUGAACAAUUGAUAAUAGAUCCAACUGGAUUACAAAAGCGCUAUGAUAACAUUCCACUGCGCGGUUAAAAACGUGAGAAGACAAAGGCAGUAAGUUUAUGGUGUAAAAUCUAUCUCUGAUCCUGCUGCAGUUGGAAAACUGACAGCACACGAUUACGAUUCAGUUUAUCACGGCGCGGGACACACACGGAAUUUGCGAGCAAAUUAAACAUCGACAGCACUGCCGUCGUCAAGUCACUCAUCACGAGUGCCAUUUGUCGCCGGUUCGUCGACGUUGCAGUGGCCGGAGUUGAAAAUCGAAAAACUGCUGGGAAGGAAAGGUUAAAAACAAAUCAAAGCAAACAGGGCAAACAGUCGUAGAAAAGUUGUGUUUCUCUGAAAAUUGAAGUGAAAAAAUCGUUGCCAAGUAGCUGAAACUAAUCAACAAGAGUUAGAAAAUUUUCAUACCGUUUUUUCUCGCGGAGGAGCAGAACCUGUUUGAGUUUCGUUAGAUAACUCUUUUAGAAGAAAUUUUCCAAUAAUAUGGACAACUUACCUGGAGAUGAAGAAAUCAUUUCACAGCAGGUUCAUAUCUUCCUCCAGCAGAUUUGUUAUGAGCAUCUUUUGGUCUUAAUGCCAACAACUUGACACCCCGCCUAAUGAAGUUUUCCAGCUUCUGAAAUCAUGAAGAAAAGUGAAUUUUCGGAGUUUAAACGCUCGCUUCUGACAGUCAAAGUGCAGCACGGUCUUCCCGAUUUUCGUCCCUUCCUAGAUGAAGCUUCAAAAAGGUGCUAGUAUGGUUCCGGAUUCCACCACCAUAAUGGUCAAUGUUUCGCCAUUAACCGUGGUUAGUUCAUGGUAACGGUUCCCCAUUGACCGGAUGCUUCUGGGCGGGGAAUUGUUUACACCGUCCGUUUUGGAUUUGUAUUGGAACGGAUUCGACAAGGGAGCAAUCAAAUAAUAUCGAGUUAUGAUCUGAUUGUUUUAUCU